This 292-nucleotide ribosomal RNA is filed under the name uncultured bacterium. RNAcentral's name for it is "partial 16S ribosomal RNA". It matches the Rfam family "Bacterial small subunit ribosomal RNA", at positions 505 to 796 of the family's 1533-position model. The record is from RNAcentral.
GUGCCAGCAGCCGCGGUAAUACAGGGGGUGCAAACGUUGCUCGGAAUCAUUGGGCGUAAAGCGCUCGUAGGCGGUCUGUUACGUCGGCUGUGAAAACCUGGGGCUCAACCCCGAGCCUGCUUCCGAUACGGGCAGACUAGAGGUAGGCAGGGGAGAGCGGAACUCCUGGUGUAGCGGUGGAAUGCGCAGAUAUCAGGAAGAACACCGGUGGCGAAGGCGGUUCUCUGGGCCUUACCUGACGCUGAGGAGCGAAAGCGUGGGGAGCGAACAGGAUUAGAAACCCUAGUAGUCC